GCCAUUUUUCGUCUUCCAAAAUCAAAGAAAACCAAAAAUGAAGAAGCAGUGUUCAAAAAAGAGUAAAUCUGAGCAUUGCUAACACCCAAGAACCUUUCCCCCUUUUACAUUCUAACUUCCUUUUCUUGAUUUCUCGAUUGAAAACAAGACACACACAAAUACAAAAGAGAAGAAGGAGACAAGCAACAACCAUUUUCCGAUCCCCCCUCAGAUUUCGAUCAAUUGUCUUUCUCUUAAAAAUUAAAGAGCUACACACUCACAAUAGGAAAAAGAAGUUUCUAGCAAUCCCGAAAAUCUGGUAAAAAAAACAGUCCAAAAGAGCUCCAAAAGCCAUAAAAACCAGCUGAAAUCGUGUAAAAAAUGCUACUUCGUCGCACCUUGAAACAGUCCAAAUCUUCAGCUGAAAACGCAGCAGCAUAGCAUGGUAAAAUACCCAUAAACAGCUCCGGCUUUAGUCACUGCUAGCUUUCUCUCGGGUCGAGGUUUGGCGAGUAUCAUUGGAGGUUGCUGGUAUCGGUUGCAGUCCUUGUCCGCUCUCAUACAACCUUGUUGCUGUAAGUUUAUUCAAAGUGUUGAACUUUUUACUUCCCUUUUAAUUUGAGUACUCUACUUAUGAGAAUUUAAUUUGUUCCAUAUCUACACUAUUUGGUUAAAUUCCUCUUUCAUUCAAUUGUGACAAGUGAGUAGAAAUGACUAACUGUUCCAUUUUGUCCAUUGAAAAGUUAAGAAGAAGCCAUUUCCUUGAUCUGUUAAAUUCCUCUGAUUUUGUUUCUACUUUUGGGUUGUGAUCUUGCAUCUCUUUGUUUUUACUUUUGGAUAUUUCAUGCUGCAAGUCGUGGAAUAUUGUCUUGAAUUUCUGAAUUUGAUGGAAAGUUGAACUGAAUCUUAUCCAAAAAUUCGUAAAUAAGUUAAACUUCACAAUGAGGUUUAUUUUUCUCCAUUAUUCUAUUUAUUUGCUUAAUGUUUUUCUUAUGAAGUUCGUUGAUAUGUUGGAGUGGCCAUGGGCAUCAUUCCCAUGGCAUGGUUACAAUACGUGAAUCUUAAUUCGGGGGUGCAUUUCAUGUAACCCGAUUAUAACAACUUCGAAUAAUAAAACUCUUUGGAAUAAUUUGAGGCGUGCCAUGCCAAAUUAAAUGUCAAAACUCAUGUCCCUCACUUAAUUAAUUUUAACCCUUUAGAAAUCGAGGUGUGCCAUUAGUUGAACUUUCCAUGGCCCUCGCAAACUUGAAAGUGCGUAGUUGCUUUAGGUGCGCAAUUUAAAUUAAUUUUCUUAAACUCGGGUGUGCUUUUCAUAUGACCCAACUCCAAUUCUCAACAACGUUAAAUAAAAUGCGUCAUGGACUGCGGGUGCAUUUCAUGUGGCGUGGUUCAAGGCGUGUUUUAAAUAACGUUGAAUCUUCCUAAAAUUAAUUAAAAGCGGCUAAUAAGUUAAAAUGUAUCAUAGGCUAAAACAUGUAAUAAAAUCAAAUAAUAGGCCAAUUAUAAUAGUUUAAAGCGACCGUGCUAGAACCACGGAAUUCGGGGGUACCUAACACCUUCCCUCGGGUUAAUAGAAUUCCUUACUUAGAAUUUCUGGUUCCCAGACUUCAAAAGGAAAGCCGAAUUUCCUCGAUUUGGGAUUAAAAAAAUAAAUCGGUGACUCGGGACACCGGUUAAAAUAUUCCGAGUGGCGACUCUAAAAAUAAUUUAAUUAAUCCCAUUUCUAAUAAUGUCACUUUAUUGGAAAAACUCUCUUAUAUCCCUUCGGGGUGGUAAAAAGGAGGUGUGACAGUUGGCAUAUUUGGUUGAGGUCCCAGGGGCCUCGGGUAUGUUUCGUAUACUUAACGGAUUGAAAUUUGGACUUAGGCAAUUGCUGAGAUUUGCUGGUUUCUGGUGUUUUCGCACCUGCGGAGGGGAGACUGUUGGUGCGGACUCGUACGUGUGGAAGAUCAGGCGUAGAAGAGGAUUUGGAAGGAAUUGUUAGGGUAGCAGGUGCGAGGGAAAUACCGCAUCUGCGAUGCCCGUGGUUGCGCUCCAAGACCCGUAGAAGCGGCAGAAGACCGCAGAAGCAGACAUGGGCUCGUAGGUGCGCACGUGCAGGGACCAAUUGCUCAGAGAUGCAGACCCAGUCCCUUAAGUAAUUUACUCACCUACAAUGGAAAUUAUUCAGGUGCGAUGGUGCAGGUGUGAUGAAAAGUCCGCAGAUACGGAAUAUCUGGUUAGAAAAAGGUCUAGAUGCGAGGGUUUGAUUUCAUUCUCCAUUUUUGGACGUAGAGAGCUCGGAUUGAGGCAAAAUUUUGAGGGAUUUCCCAAGGAAGCUUGUGGUUAAUGAUUCCUUACUCGAUUUUGGUUACAUUUCAUUAAUCUAUUGUUGUUUUCUUCAUUUAAUCAAGGAAUUUGAGUGAGAAAGUUGGAAAAAUGGGGAAAAAGUUCCCCAAUCGAAUUUCUGGGUUUUGAGAGGCAUUUAGGCAUCGGAUUUAGAUAAUUUUUGUACGAGUGAACUUGUGAGUGAAUGAGUGUUCAUAACUUUUGACUUUUACCCGAUUCCGAGGUGUGGACCUGGGGAGACUUUUUGGGCAUUUUUCUAAUUCCUGCCUUAACUUUGAUUUCGUUAGCUAGAUUAGUUUCUUGUAGUUAUAUUUAUGUUAUGUAAUUGGUUUUGGCUAGAUUUGGGCAAUUCGGAGCCGGAUAUUCAUGGAAAGAGAAUUAUUACAGAUUGAUUUGAGCUUAGUUUGAGGUAAGUGGUUUGCCUAACCUUCUAUGGGGGAACUCCCCUUAGGAUUUGGUAUUGUUUGAUAUAUGAGCACCGUGAACGUGAGGUGAGGAGUACGUAAAUGGGCUAUUUGUUGUAAAACUCUGUUUUAUACUAAGUCAUAACAUGUUUCUCCUUGUUUGAACUACACUAGCAUAUGUAACUACCUUGUUUAGAUUAGAAAAGUAUGACUACGUGUUUUAACUAUCUAUUUGAACUCUGUGCAACAUGUUUAAUAAAAUUACCUAUUUUAUUUUACGUGAACUUAGUCUAAAUUGUAGGUUUCCUUGCUAUAACUAUUGUUUAUAUUGGUUGAGCUGCAUAUUUACUUUGGGACUACAGAACGGUAUUCCGGGAGAUCCCCUUGUACUGCAUAUUUACUUUGGAACUACAAAACGGUAUUUCGAGAGAUCCCCAUGUACUGCAUAUUUACUUUGGAACUACAGCAUUGUUUACAUGUCAUGAAUGUAUAUAGUAGUUAGAAGCUCUUAGAAGUUUGUGACAUUGCGACAUUCCGGAUUUUGGGAAAGAUGAUUAUUGUAAAUGCCGAGUGGCAGCGUUUCCGCUUAUUAAUUAUAUAUGUUAGCGGUUAUCUUUGUGUUUUCAUUUCAUUUUUGCAAUAUUAGGCUUACCUAGUCAUAGAGACUAGGUGCCAUCACAGCAACUCAUGGAGGGAUAAAAUUGGGUCAUGACAACUUGGUAUCAAAGCUCUAGGUUUAUAGGAGUCGUGAGUCACAAGUCGGUUUAUAAGAGUCUCGCGGAUUAGUACAGAUAUGUAUGUACUUAUCCUCGGGAGGCUAUCGAACUGUUAGAAACAAAUUUCCCUUCAUUUGAUUCCUUGUCGUACGAGAUUAUUGACCUCGAAAUUGUAAACUUUCAUCCUCUAUUCUUUCACAGAUGGUGAGGACACAUGCUACCGAAGAUGAAUAG
This 3661-nucleotide long non-coding RNA is filed under the name Nicotiana tabacum (common tobacco). RNAcentral describes it as "long non-coding RNA (NTAB_LNC001915)". The record is from RNAcentral. Lineage: Eukaryota; Viridiplantae; Streptophyta; Magnoliopsida; Solanales; Solanaceae.